GUAGGAUGUUACAGUUGAGGGGAAUGCUGUCUGGUUCGAGACCAUUCAUUCAUUGAAUUAUAUUCUUCCUUCCAGAUAUGAACGACCUCGGACCAGGCUUCAUCCCCCCCAACUUCCACCCUC
Molecule: microRNA precursor, 123 nt
Filed under: Linum usitatissimum (flax)
Lineage: Eukaryota; Viridiplantae; Streptophyta; Magnoliopsida; Malpighiales; Linaceae
Description: miR166b stem-loop (lus-MIR166b)
Gene: lus-MIR166b
Rfam family: mir-166 microRNA precursor family (bases 14-113)
About the family: This family represents the plant microRNA (miRNA) precursor mir-166. Animal miRNAs are transcribed as ~70nt precursors and subsequently processed by the Dicer enzyme to give a ~22nt product.
Source: miRBase by way of RNAcentral